This 2067-nucleotide long non-coding RNA is filed under the name Strongylocentrotus purpuratus (purple sea urchin). RNAcentral describes it as "uncharacterized LOC105442882". The record is from RNAcentral. Lineage: Eukaryota; Metazoa; Echinodermata; Echinoidea; Camarodonta; Strongylocentrotidae.
AUAUUUUUUUUCCAUAAUUGCGUUGACUGUUAUGAUAUCUUUCUACUGACAAAUUUUCAGAUGCUGAUUUGAGAUAAUUUUUGACAAAAACAUGUUUAUAUUUUUACCUAAAACGAAACGUUGCGCGGAGCGAUUGCAUGAACCGUCGAAUGCGGAUUCGUCGGUUCAUGAAACCAACCCUCCUUAAAUUCUAGCAGACGAUGAACCGUCGAAUCUGUAGCAUCGUCUGAACGGGAUGUAAAAAUUGCAAUAGAUAGUUGGAAGUUUCUCGCAGAAAUCCUGGCAUGACCUUUGGCUUUAUUCUCGUGAAGAGUGCUGUGUGAUCUGAAUACAUGGUUGCACUAUGCAGUGAAAGGCAUUCAGCAGUUGGGAUUAUGGUAGAUUGACUGCAAAAUGUGAGGAAGCAAUCUAUUGAAUACUGAAAACCCAAAGUGACUACUACUUCUCCAGCAGCAAGGGCUAUAUAAUCUAAAGAUUUCACAGUUGGUGGAGAUGUCCUGAACUUGCUUUGUGCUGCAAUCUCUUGUACAUGUACCACCAGAUUCCAGGAAUGUGAUAACUCAACUUUACUUUCAUCAUAGAGGUGUUGUGUCUAGUGAAUAAGUCAUCCGACUGCAGAUCACAAGGUACAGGGUUCAAGUCCUGCUGCAGCACUAAUGUCCUUUGGCGAGACGUUAAUCUACAUUUGUCACUCUCCACCCAGGUGUUAAAUGGGUACCCGGUAGGAUGCAAAAGUUAAUGUAGUUGGAUGAGCAAGUGUGCGUUUGUAAAAUGGGGACUGGGCGGAAUGCUCCCCAGGGAGUGAAGAACAUGCUUGUGUGCGGGCAAGCCUAAAUCUGAUGACUGGGUAAUGAUAUAUAUAUAUAUCUGUAAAGCGCUUAGACACAUCGUUGUAUUGAUGUAUCAUGCGCUAUAUAAAAGCAGAAUAUUAUUAUUAUUACACCUGUAAGAACAUCAAGAUUUCAAGGUUAAGAAUUUCAUAAUUAUAAAAAGCAAGGUGAUGAAUGAGAAAUAUAAAUGAUUCAGCCUAAUUUAAUUGUCAAUAAAUUGAUGCAAAUGAAUGUAAAACCUUUCAUGAUUCUAUGGUUACACUGAUGGAGCAUGCUUGCAUGUUGUAAUUAUGAAUCAUAUUAAAGUUAUUUUGAUUAUCUUUUGCCAAUUGCCCACUUUUGUAAAAUAGAAUAUUUCAAGCUAUCACAUCUGGUUAAAGCUACAAUAGCUGACAGUUGGGAAAGCAUGUUCAAUUUGUUUUGGUGUCAAUGGGUGCCGGCUUAAUGUGCAUAUGUAUAGUGUUGGGUUCAUGAUCAUACAUCAUGUUGAGCUCUUACUGUGUCGAACAUUACCUCUUUAAGUGGUUAUUUUAGGUGUUGAAGAUCAGUACAAGUUCAAGGCAAAGUUACCAUAAGCGCAUUACAAAUUUAGUACAUUGACAAGGGGCAUUUAAUAACAAUUAAUGAACUGGCAGCAUUGUAUUAGAGAGUUUUUUGAAAUUGUGACACUGUGUCUAAAACUUUUGAUGAAGGAAUAACCCACUGUAAAUACAAAUAAUUUCAAAAACAUAUCUUCACUGAAAAUAUAUGUGAGAAUAUAGUGUUACAUGGUUUUGUGAAAACCAUUGUUCUUGUGCAUUACCUAUAUGACAAUGUGAGGUAUAGUAUACCAGGUCAGCAGCUGAUUGUGAAAUCAUGAACAUUGUUACCAGUUCACUUUAAUGCAGAUCUUUAUUUGACCUUUACUCAAAUCGUUUCGGAACUCAUGAUAAUAUUAUGUAGCUUGUGCUGAAUUCAUGAUAUAGCCCAAGAAAAUAAGUACACUGAAUGGCACAUGAUUUGAAUUGAUUUUUUUUUAUUCAUCAAAUAUGUGUAACACUCGAAAAUUGUCCUGUUAUUUCACCUAAAUAUAUAGGAUUAUGAUGUGUUUUAGAUUAGGUCACACUACAAUCGUCAGUGGUAUCAAUGCCACAGUUGUCAUUACUCAAAGAGUUCUAAUUUGUGAUAAUUGAUUAUUAAAUAAUUGUCAAGUGUGUUUAAGAUCGAUGUCAAAUAAAUUUUGGAUGUGAAAAUAUAA